UACAGAGGUCUCAAGCGUUGUUCGGAUUCAUUGGGCGUAAAGGGUGCGUAGGUGGCGCCGUAAGUCAGGUGUGAAAUUUCGGAGCUUAACUCCGAAACUGCAUUUGAUACUGCGGUGCUUGAGGACUGGAGAGGAGACUGGAAUUCACGGUGUAGCAGUGAAAUGCGUAGAGAUGUGGAGGAAUACCGAUGGCGAAGGCAGCCCCCUGGGAUAACACUGACGCUCAUGCACGAAAGCGUGGGGAGCAAACAGG
RNAcentral lists this ribosomal RNA (253 nucleotides) under uncultured bacterium. RNAcentral describes it as "partial 16S ribosomal RNA". It matches the Rfam family "Bacterial small subunit ribosomal RNA", at positions 524 to 776 of the family's 1533-position model. The record is from RNAcentral.